This 254-nucleotide ribosomal RNA is filed under the name uncultured bacterium. Its description in RNAcentral is "partial 16S ribosomal RNA". It matches the Rfam family "Bacterial small subunit ribosomal RNA", at positions 524 to 776 of the family's 1533-position model. The record is from RNAcentral.
UACGUAGGCAGCAAGCGUUGUUCGGAGUUACUGGGCGUAAAGAGCGCGUAGGCGGCUCGGUAAGUGUGAAGUGAAAUCUCUAGGGCUCAACCCAGAAACUGCUUUACAUACUGCCAAGCUGGAGUGAUGAAGAGGUUUGUGGAAUUCCUGGUGUAGCGGUGAAAUGCGUUGAUAUCAGGAGGAACACCCAUGGCGAAGGCAGCAAACUGGUCAUCAACUGACGCUGAGGCGCGAAAGCGUGGGUAGCAAACAGG